Molecule: ribosomal RNA, 520 nt
Filed under: uncultured Entrophospora
Lineage: Eukaryota; Fungi; Glomeromycota; Glomeromycetes; Entrophosporales; Entrophosporaceae
Description: SSU rRNA
Rfam family: Eukaryotic small subunit ribosomal RNA
Source: RNAcentral
AGCAGCCGCGGUAAUUCCAGCUCCAAUAGCGUAUAUUAAAGUUGUUGCAGUUAAAAAGCUCGUAGUUGAAUUUCGGGAUUGACACAUCGGUCGUGCCUUAAGGGGUAUGAACUGGUGUAGUCAAUUUCUCACCUUCUGGAGAACCGCGAUGUCCUUAAUUGGGUGCCGCGGGGAACCAGGACCCUUACUUUGAAAAAUUAGAGUGUUUAAAGCAGGCAUUUUUGCUUGAAUACAUUAGCAUGGAAUAAUAAAAUAGGACGGCAUGGUUCUAUUUUGUUGGUUUCUAGGACCACCGUAAUGAUUAAUAGGGAUAGUUGGGGGCAUUAGUAUUCAAUUGUCAGAGGUGAAAUUCUUGGAUUUAUUGAAGACUAACUACUGCGAAAGCAUUUGCCAAGGAUGUUUUCAUUAAUCAAGAACGAAAGUUAGGGGACCGAAGACGAUCAGGUACCGUCGUAGUCUUAACCACUAAACUAUGCCGACUAGGGAGUCGGAGUGAUGUUAAUUUUUUAAUUUGUACUCU